The sequence is a small nuclear RNA, 123 nucleotides long. Its record names the gene U4. It matches the Rfam family "U4 spliceosomal RNA". From Rfam's summary of the family: U4 small nuclear RNA (U4 snRNA) is a component of the major U2-dependent spliceosome. The record is from Ensembl.
AGCUUUGCGACGUGGCAGUAUCACAGCCAAUGAGGUUUAUCUGAGGUGUGAUUAUUGCCGUAUGAAAACUUUUCUCAGAAAUGGGUGGUUGGAUUUCCCAACAUUUUGAGGAUUUCCCCAGGU